UUUUAUACGAAGAUAUUCCCUUUUCCACCAAUGGCCUCAAAGUGCUUGAAAUCUCCCCUUGCAAAUUCCACAGACAAGUGUUUCAAAUCUGCACUGUCUAAAGGAAGGUUCAACCCUGUGAGUUGAAUACACACACACAGAAAAAAAUUCACUGAGAAUUCUAUUGUCUAUCAUUACACGAAGAAAUCCCGUUUACCACGAAUGCCUCAAAGAGGUCCAAAUAUCCAGUUGCAGACAAUACAAACUGAGUGUUUCCAAAGUGCUCUAUGAAAAGAAGUGGUAAACACUGUGAGUUGAACGCACACAUCACAAAGUAGUUUCUGAGAAUGAUACUGUCUAGUUUUUAUACGAAGAUAUUUCCUUUUGUACCAUUGGCCUCAAAUCGCUAGAAUUCUCCACUUGCAAAUUCCACAAAAAGAGUGUUUCCAAUCUGCUCUGUCUAAAGGAAGGUUCAACUCUGUGAGUUGAAUACACACACACACAAAGAAGCUACUGAGAAUUCUUUUGUCAAGAAUUAUAAGAAGAA
This 526-nucleotide long non-coding RNA is filed under the name Homo sapiens (human). RNAcentral's name for it is "HSALNT0312916". The record is from RNAcentral. Lineage: Eukaryota; Metazoa; Chordata; Mammalia; Primates; Hominidae.